GUGGGAACCACCUGACCCCAUGCCGAACUCAGCAGUGAAACCGCUCAGCGCCGAUGGUAGUGUGGGGUCUCCCCAUGCGAGAGUAGGUCAUCGUCAGGC
RNAcentral lists this ribosomal RNA (99 nucleotides) under Billgrantia kenyensis. The record is from RNAcentral. Lineage: Bacteria; Pseudomonadati; Pseudomonadota; Gammaproteobacteria; Oceanospirillales; Halomonadaceae.